CAAAAGCCUGGUCCUGACUUUAUUAUCAGUUAUGGCCUAAAUUACACAUGCAAGUACCCGCACCCCCGUGAGAAUGCCCUCCAACCCCUCAGUGGGGAAGAGGAGCUGGCAUCAGGCACACACUAAAGGUGGCCCAAAACGCCUUGCUUAGCCACACCCCCAAGGGAAUUCAGCAGUGAUAAAUAUUAAGCCAUGAGCGAAAGCUUGACUUAAUUAAGGCUAAACAGAGCCGGUAAAACUCGUGCCAGCCACCGCGGUUAUACGAGGGGCUCAAAUUGAUAUCCUUCGGCGUAAAGUGUGAUUAGAGAACAAUAAAAACUAAAGCUAAACACCUCCUGAGCUGUCAUACGCUAACGGAGACAGAAACCCCACAACGAAAGUAGCUUUAACAACUCUUGAACUCACGACCAUUAAGAAACAAACUGGGAUUAGAUACCCCACUAUGCUUAAUCGUAAACAACGAUGAUAAUAUACAAAUACCAUCCGCCAGGGGACUACGAGCACUAGCUUAAAACCCAAAGGACUUGGCGGUGCCUCAAACCCACCUAGAGGAGCCUGUUCUAUAACCGAUAAUCCCCGUUAAACCUCACCACUCCUUGUUAAUCCAGCCUAUAUACCGCCGUCGCCAGCUUACCUCAUGAGAGACUAACAGUAAGCCAAAUGGGUUAUACCCAACACGUCAGGUCGAGGUGUAGCGAAUGGAGUGGAAAGAAAUGGGCUACAUUUUCUGACUCAGAAUAUACGAAAAGUGCCAUGAAAAAGCACACCUGAAGGUGGAUUUAGCAGUAAAAAGAAAACAGAGAGCUCUUUUGAAGCCGGCCCUGAGGCGCGUACACACCGCCCGUCACUCUCCUCAAACAAACCAGACAAUUUAUAAUCACCUGAACAACAAAAGAGGAGGCAAGUCGUAACAUGGUAAGUGUACCGGAAGGUGCACUUGGAAAAAC
RNAcentral lists this non-coding RNA (947 nucleotides) under Nessorhamphus ingolfianus (duckbill oceanic eel). RNAcentral describes it as "12S rRNA". It matches the Rfam family "Bacterial small subunit ribosomal RNA". The record is from RNAcentral. Lineage: Eukaryota; Metazoa; Chordata; Actinopteri; Anguilliformes; Derichthyidae.